UACAGAGGGUGCAAGCGUUGCUCGGAAUCAUUGGGCGUAAAGGGUAGGUAGGUGGUCUCAUUUGUCUGGGGUGAAAGCCCAGGGCUUAACCCUGGAAGUGCCCCGGAAACGGUGAGACUAGAGUCUUGGAGAGGGUCGUGGAAUUCCCGGUGUAGCGGUGAAAUGCGUAGAGAUCGGGAGGAACACCAGAGGCGAAGGCGGCGACCUGGACAAGUACUGACACUCAACUACGAAAGCGUGGGGAGCAAACAGG
RNAcentral lists this ribosomal RNA (253 nucleotides) under uncultured bacterium. RNAcentral describes it as "partial 16S ribosomal RNA". It matches the Rfam family "Bacterial small subunit ribosomal RNA", at positions 524 to 776 of the family's 1533-position model. The record is from RNAcentral.